Molecule: ribosomal RNA, 424 nt
Filed under: uncultured bacterium
Lineage: Bacteria
Description: bacterial SSU rRNA
Rfam family: Bacterial small subunit ribosomal RNA
Source: RNAcentral
CUUAACCUACAGACUGCGUUUGAAACUGUAUAUCUUGAGAGCAGCAGAGGAAGGCGGAAUUCCUGGUGUAGUGGUGAAAUACGUAGAUAUCAGGAAGAACACCAGUGGCGAAGGCGGUCUUCUGGGCUGCAUCUGACGCUCAUGUACGAAAGCUGGGGUAGCGAACGGGAUUAGAUACCCCGGUAGUCCCAGCUGUAAACGAUGGACACUAGGUGUUGGAGGUUCGAAUCCUUCAGUGCCGGAGUUAACGCAUUAAGUGUCCCGCCUGGGGAAUACGGUCGCAAGACUGAAACUCAAAGGAAUUGACGGGGGCCCGCACAAGCGGUGGAGCAUGUGGUUUAAUUCGACGCAACGCGAAGAACCUUACCUGGAUUUGACAUCUCGGGAAUUUCUAUGAAAAUAGAAAGUGCCCUUCGGGGAGCCC